This is a long non-coding RNA of Trichomycterus rosablanca, 424 nucleotides long. RefSeq lists it as uncharacterized. The transcript has 3 exons. Lineage: Eukaryota; Metazoa; Chordata; Actinopteri; Siluriformes; Trichomycteridae. The record is from RefSeq and is a predicted model, not a curated record.
GGGGCCGGUAGAUGUAGUCAGGAACAUGGCUGGUGUAGAUGAUCAGAAAUCAGCGCUUUCUUUACCUAAACACUCGUACUGGUUCGAUUUCUGGCUCUUUAUUCUAUUCGAUGUUGUAUUUUUUCUCUUUGUGUAUUUUUUAAUUCCGUAGCAGUGUGCAGAAGCUGAGCGGGAUGGGAGCACUGGGACCAGGACCAGAUCAGGUGGAUCAUCUGGAGAAGACAUGACACUUGGGGGGUUGCGACUGUUUCCGGUGCCCACGGUGUCCACGCUCGUCACCCUGCUGACCGCACUGACUCCCGGAUUCCCAGAAUGCAACACUGAACCGCAGCAGCACUGGCUCAAUGCCGCACCUUCUCAUUCCUUUCUCGUUAUAAAGCUCGUUAUUAAGGACUGUUAAUUAAAGCUAAUUUAUUUUUCCUGA